RNAcentral lists this ribosomal RNA (497 nucleotides) under uncultured bacterium. RNAcentral describes it as "partial 16S ribosomal RNA". It matches the Rfam family "Bacterial small subunit ribosomal RNA", at positions 28 to 507 of the family's 1533-position model. The record is from RNAcentral.
GAUGAACGCUGGCGGCGUGCCUAAUACAUGCAAGUCGAGCGAACAGACGAGGAGCUUGCUCCUCUGACGUUAGCGGCGGACGGGUGAGUAACACGUGGAUAACCUACCUAUAAGACUGGGAUAACUUCGGGAAACCGGAGCUAAUACCGGAUAAUAUAUUGAACCGCAUGGUUCAAUAGUGAAAGACGGUUUUGCUGUCACUUAUAGAUGGAUCCGCGCCGCAUUAGCUAGUUGGUAAGGUAACGGCUUACCAAGGCGACGAUGCGUAGCCGACCUGAGAGGCUGAUCGGCCACACGGGAACUGAGACACGGUCCAGACUCCUACGGGAGGCAGCAGUAGGGAAUCUUCCGCAAUGGGCGAAAGCCUGACGGAGCAACGCCGCGUGAGUGAUGAAGGUCUUCGGAUCGUAAAACUCUGUUAUUAGGGAAGAACAAAUGUGUAAGUAACUAUGCACGUCUUGACGGUACCUAAUCAGAAAGCCACGGCUAACUACGUG